UUGGACCUGAUAUCAGGCAAGAUUACCCGCUGA
This 33-nucleotide ribosomal RNA is filed under the name Phytophthora pseudosyringae. RNAcentral describes it as "partial 28S ribosomal RNA". RNAcentral also lists the same sequence under 2 other names. The record is from RNAcentral. Lineage: Eukaryota; Oomycota; Peronosporomycetes; Peronosporales; Peronosporaceae.